UUCCAGACUCCUACGGGAGGCAGCAGUGGGGAAUAUUGCACAAUGGGGGAAACCCUGAUGCAGCGACGCCGCGUGAGUGAAGAAGUAUUUCGGUAUGUAAAGCUCUCUCAGCAGGGAAGAAAAUGACGGUACCUGAUUAAGAAGCCCCGGCUAACUACGUGCCGGCAGCCGCGGUAAUACGUAGGGGGCAAGCGUUAUCCGGAUUUACUGGGUGUAAAGGGAGCGUAGACGGCAGCGCAAGUCUGAAGUGAAAUGCCCGGGCUUAACCCCGGAACUGCUUUGGAAACUGUGCAGCUAGAGUGCAGGAGAGGUAAGUGGAAUUCCUAGUGUAGCGGUGAAAUGCGUAGAUAUUAGGAGGAACACCAGUGGCGAAGGCGGCUUACUGGACUGUAACUGACGUUGAGGCUCGAAAGCGUGGGGAGCAAACAGGAUUAGAUACCCGCGUAG
This 447-nucleotide ribosomal RNA is filed under the name uncultured bacterium. Its description in RNAcentral is "bacterial SSU rRNA". It matches the Rfam family "Bacterial small subunit ribosomal RNA", at positions 329 to 793 of the family's 1533-position model. The record is from RNAcentral.